GUUGGUUUUACCCGAAGGCAGUGCGCUAACCGCAAGGAGACAGCUGACCACGGUGGGAUCAGCGACUGAGGUGAAGUCGUAACAAGGUAACCGUAGGUGAACCUGCAGAAGGAUCA
RNAcentral lists this ribosomal RNA (116 nucleotides) under uncultured eukaryote. RNAcentral's name for it is "partial small subunit ribosomal RNA". It matches the Rfam family "Bacterial small subunit ribosomal RNA", at positions 1410 to 1525 of the family's 1533-position model. The record is from RNAcentral.